UACCCUCCCUAGACCCCACUAAGUGGGAGCCUCAUAUUCUGGACUGUUUUUUUUUUUACUAGUUAAAGUCUUUAAAUGGUUCUAAUGUCUCCAAUGGUUUGCUUUUUGUACUUUGCAGUUGAGUGACAAUGAUGCAGUGUGAGGUGAUAAAGAUGCUGGACUUCUGUAAUGUUGCUUGGAACUUUUGAUUGCUUGCAAUUUGGAAAUGGUUUGUUAAAGAAAAUUUUAUGGAUGGCAUUUAGAAUUUGUUAACUGGAUGGAGAACAUCAUGAUUUACCUACUUAUGUACAAAAAUGCGAAAAAAAUGCACAAUGAUCCUUCUGUGCAUUGUGUGAAACAUGUUUGAUAUGUUUUGAGUAAAUCAUUUUCGUUUUGUUUGUUUUUUUGGGGUGAAUUUCAACUCUCUGAUCAGAAGUUUCGAAAACCUAAUUUCUUGAGUUCUCCACGGAUUAAUUGCUUUCAGGUUGAUUUUUCUAAGCACUUUUAGGUUGAUUUUAUAAUCACAUGUGCAG
This 512-nucleotide long non-coding RNA is filed under the name Lupinus angustifolius (narrow-leaved blue lupine). RNAcentral's name for it is "long non-coding RNA (LANG_LNC003456)". The record is from RNAcentral. Lineage: Eukaryota; Viridiplantae; Streptophyta; Magnoliopsida; Fabales; Fabaceae.